CUUGAGAUUCUGUGAGGAGAACCUAUGCUAUAGAAAAUCUCCUGUGCAAUUCAGAUUGAUUGUAGCUUGUCAGCAUGAUAACAAAUGUGUGAGAGCUCCAGAAAACAUCUAUACAGACAGUGUUAGUGUCACCUGUUCUGACCUGCUGUCUUCUCUAGUCUCUCAGAUAUCUAGCUUAUUGACCUGGCCAUGGAUCCAACACCUAAUCAAACAAAAAAUGUAGAACCUGUGCAACCUCAUGAGAACACAAUGACCAUAGAAAUACCGGCUCUGGGACGCCCCUUCUCCCUUGGGAUGCUGUAUGACUGUCGUGCUGAUAAGCUCAUUCCAGGUAUAACAUUUUGGAACCAUCAGGCAUUGCGAGAGAAUGUGGCAUCUACACCUCUAGAGAAUACGUCAUUUGACAUUAUAGCCUCAGACACUGUUUCUGAGAAAUCAUCCGCUCUGAAUAUCUCAGCAUCUAUAAAAGCCAGUUUCCUCUCUGGUCUGAUUGAAGUUGGUGGAUCUGCCCGUUACAUAAAUGACACAAAAACAUCUAAGAACCAAGCCAGAGUCACCCUAAAGUACUCAAGAACCACAAGGUUUGAGCAGCUGAGCAUGGACCAUUUAGGUAUCCAGAACAUGACUUACCAUGGUGUGUUUGACAAAGGGACGGCCACCCAUGUGGUCACUGGUAUAUUGUAUGGUGCUCAAGCCUUCUUUAUAUUUGAUCGUGAGCUGUCUGAAUCAGAUAUACAAGGAAAUCUUGAAAUACAAGGACAUUUCAAGGUCAUGAUUAGAAAGGUUCCCUCAUUUACCACCAAAGGAAAGGGAGAUCUGACAAUGAAUGAUAAAGAUAAGGCAGAAGUGAAAAAAUUUAGCUGUAAGUUUCAUGGAGACUUCGCCCUGGAGAGCAAUCCGGUCACAUAUUUAGAUGCCAUAAAGGUUUAUACCGACCUCCCAAAGUUACUAGGAGAGAGAGGGGAAAAGGCUGUACCUGUGAAAGUAUGGCUGUAUCCACUGAGGAAGCUGGACAGUAAAGCUGCCCGGUUGGUUAUAGACAUCCGUGAAGAUCUUGUAUACAGGACAGAAAAGGUGAUACAGCAAAUGAUAGAUGUUAAAAUACAGUGUAAUGAUCUGAUGAGACAUCCGGCUGCAGAGAAAUUUCCUGACAUCAAGAAUACCAUCACUGAGUUCAGAGAGCAGUGUGAUCAAUUUACACUCACAUUUAAGAAGCAGCUUGCACGGACCUUACCCUCUAUCCGUGGUGGGGGAUCAGAGGAAGCUGCACUUGCUGACAUUUUACUUGGUAUACAAAAAUCUCCAUUUGAUAAGCUCCACAUUACACAGUUUCUAAUCGCAAUAGAACAAGAGAUGGAUACUGUGAGCUCCUAUCUGGAAGCGCUGCCCAACAUCAAAGUAUUACCAACUGAGAUUGAAAGAAACAAACUAAUACUUAGCCCUAUGACUGAACAUGUGGUGUGUUUUAAUUUUACAUCACUAAAUGAGGAGGAGCCAUAUCUUUCUGAUAUGUGUAAUUGGCUCCAAUCACCUGGACACACUGUCUAUGAGAAUAGAAAUAUCUCACCAUGGUUCAAGGACAAAGAUGUCUCUAUGAGAGCAAAGAGAUGCGUGAGAGCAUUUCCAGAAUUUGCUGCAGCCAAUGCAACUAGUGAGAAGACCCGAUUCAUUAUCUCAUCUGUCCCAGACCAGAGUAGUCCUGGAGUCUCUAUUUACCUGUAUGAGUGCGUGGGUUUGCUGAGUGAAAAGUUUGAGCCUCCAACAAAACCUAAUCCCCUAGUUAUCAGUGGUAGGACACAUGAGAGUAUGGAUCUCAUCCUCAGUCCUGCAGACAUUGGGAAAGAGUUCAUAGAGGGAUACAAAAUAGAGUAUAGAUCUGCUGGGACGGAGAACUGGUCACAUAUUAUAACAAAGCAUAAAGAUCAGAAGAUCACAGUUACAGGACUAAAGCCUAAUAAAAAUUAUCAGCUCAGAUACUCUGCAGUGUGUAAACCAGGACUCAGCGCUGCCAGUGAUGUUACAAAAGAUGAAAGAACUCUUCCCACUAGUCCACCUGAAGCCACACGUGAAGCUGCUAAACCAUCCUAUGUUAUAUUAAUUGUAAAGAAACCAACUAUAAUUGGACAUGGAGCCACAAUAACGGAGUAUAAAGUUGAAUACAAGGAAAAAGCUGAAAAGCAAGAUGGGAGGUGGCUGGAAUAUAGAUCAGGAGAGUUUUGUAUUAUUGAGAAGCUAAAGCCAAUGACAUCCUACAUAAUACGUGUGUCAGCCAUAUGUGGUGAUUCUGGGGUCAGUGCUCCCAGUGAUGAGGUCGUAGUUACAACAACAAAAGAAAGAUCCUUUAAUCUUAAGAAUCAAAAGCAAGAAAACAGUAUUCUGCUAAAGAAAAAAGAAAAAGGGAAGCCUUCUGUAUAUCAGCUGAACAUGGAUCUUUGUGACUCUGGAUAUCGUAAGUACAGCUUGGGAAAAGAAAACCUCCAGAAACCUAAUAAAGUGAUUCUAUUAGUAGGAGCUACAGGAACAGGAAAAACAUCCCUGAUCAAUGGGAUGGCCAACUACAUCUUAGGUGUGGAAUGGAAAGAUGACUUUAGGUUCAGACUUGUAGACGAAGCUACAGAUACAUCUGAGGCUCAUAGCCAAACCUCUCUAGUUACAGCCUACAACUUGCAUUAUGAAGAUGGCUAUGAAAUCCCUUAUUCCCUCACCGUGAUAGACACACCAGGGUUUGGAGACACACGAGGAAUAGCACAGGACAAGAAGAUCAUAGAGGACAUUGCAGCAUUUCUUACAGUGGACAAUGGCAUUGAUCAGAUAGAUGCUGUGUGCUUUGUAGUACAGUCAUCUUUGGCUCGGCUGACACACAUCCAGAAAUAUAUUUGUGAAUCUGUGUUUUCUACCUUUGGAAAAGAUAUCAGAGACAACAUAAUGAUCCUGAUAAACUUCUCAGAUGGUGAGAAACCUCCAGUACUACAAGCCAUAAAAGUAGCUGACAUCCCCUACCCUGUGGACAGUAAUGGUGACCCCGUUCACAUCAAGUUCAACAACUCGGCUCUAUUUGCCAGCAAUCAGGCCAGUGACAUGAGUUUUACUGAGAUGUUCUGGAUGAUGGGGGAGCAAAGUAUGGGAACAUUUUUCAGCUAUCUGACAAAUAUAGAAACCAAAAGUCUGAUGCUGACCAAGAAAGUCAUCAAGGAAUGGAAUAGGCUUCAGAUUACUGUACAGGCCUUACAGUCAAAUAUAAAGGCUGGGCUAAUGAUACUGGAAGUAAUAAGAAAGACCAAGGAAGCUCUGCAGCAGAACAAGGACUGUAUGGCAGCAAAUGAGGACUUGGAGUAUGAGGUAACUCUCCCGGUACUGAAAGUGAUAACAGGCUGUUCUGUGACUAGAACAGAAAAAAUAAUCUUUAAAGCACAUACACAGACUGUAGAAAAAAUGUCCAAACAACCGUACAUGGAAUAUAAUUUUGUGAAAGGAGUAGUGUUUGAUCUUAAUAUCAUGGCCUGCAAGAGUCUGAUGCGCCUCCAUAAAAUUGCUCUAAGACCAACCCCUCUGUCAGACCCUGAACAUAUUGGCCUAAUGAUACAGAGUGAGGAACAAGAAGCCAAACCAGGAUAUCAUGAGAGAAUCCAGUCCCUGAUGGAGGUCAGACAGCAGGCAGAGAUAUUAAAGAAGAUUGACAAGGGAGAAGAGUUGUUGCACUGAUCUCAUUAUGGUGCACACAAUAGACAGCACAGGAGAAGAUACCAAUAAGAGGUAAAAAAAUGGAAGAAAGGAAAACUCUACAAAAUCAAAUCCCCAUAGAGAGGGGAAAGGACAGAGAAACCAGGAACAAUUUGAGGUGCACUCAACCCAACUAACAAGAUUUAGUGUAUUUAUUAUCAGAAAUGUGUAUCCACACUGUAAUAUCUAAUAAAGGUUUACAUGCUCAUCAU
This is an RNA transcript of Pseudophryne corroboree (corroboree frog), 3932 nucleotides long. It is a transcript of the gene named neoverrucotoxin subunit beta-like, with no coding region annotated. The transcript is spliced from 4 exons. NCBI's taxonomy places the organism in Eukaryota, Metazoa, Chordata, Amphibia, Anura, Myobatrachidae. The record is from RefSeq and is a predicted model, not a curated record.